RNAcentral lists this transfer RNA (70 nucleotides) under Glyptotendipes tokunagai. RNAcentral's name for it is "tRNA-Glu". It matches the Rfam family "tRNA". From Rfam's summary of the family: Transfer RNA (tRNA) molecules are approximately 80 nucleotides in length. Their secondary structure includes four short double-helical elements and three loops (D, anti-codon, and T loops). The record is from RNAcentral. Lineage: Eukaryota; Metazoa; Arthropoda; Insecta; Diptera; Chironomidae.
UUUUAUAUAGUUUAAAUAAAAACAUUAUAUUUUCAUUAUAAAAACAAAGAUUUAAAUUCUUUUAUAAAAU